Molecule: long non-coding RNA, 2367 nt
Organism: Octopus bimaculoides (California two-spot octopus)
Lineage: Eukaryota; Metazoa; Mollusca; Cephalopoda; Octopoda; Octopodidae
Source: RefSeq, a predicted model, not a curated record
UUAAUUAGUAAUUACAAAUUAGCAACCAAAUAUAUAUAGAUUAAUAAACAUAUUGAAUUAUUUGAUAAUUAAGAUAUUAAUUAUUUAAUUCAAAUGAGGUUACUAGAAAAUAAAAUACCUAAUUUAAAUCACUGCUUUAAUGCCAUGUUUAUAAUGGAGAUUACUGAAUAUAGAAUUAAUAUCGAAGUAUAUAUCCUUUAGUUUGUUCUAGUCAUAAUGGUUGAUGCCAAGCUGGAGCAUCAUCAAAUAAAGUAUAUUUGAUAUUAAUAAAGUCUCACUAAGAGAUGUUAAAUAUUUAAUCAGUUUAUUAAAGGAGUUGAAUUUUAUAUUUUAGUUCAAUAGUUUCAUUUCUUGUUUGACUGACAUUUAUAUUCAAUGAAAUCAUAACCACUGAAAGAAUAUCUUAAAACAUUUCCAUGCAAGAAUAUGCAGUUUUUCAAUUGCAAAAACACUAAGAUUUAAGCUAUAUAUGUGACCUUGGUAAAGAUGGCUGAACAAGCUGCUUGGGAUAUUCUAACGCUUGGUUGUCAAGGAUCACAGAAACCAUUCUGUUUAUUUUCAAUGUGAUUUUUUUUUUUCUACCAACACAUAUCUCAUGAUUCUUAAAGUACUGGUGCCACAAUGAAAUCCAUCCAAGGCACUCUGUGAAGUGGUUGGCAAAUGAGUAGGGCCAAAAGAACGUUUCAGUCUUGUGGUGAAUAUGACAAUUUCUUUCAUGCUGGUGCCACAAUAAAAUGCACCUGGUGAACUCUGUAAAGUGAUUGGUGAUCGGAAAAGUAUCAGUCAUAGAAACCAAACCAAACCAAACCAAACCAAAAGUGAAAAAUAUGAGCAAGAUGUAGUCCUCUGCCUCAUCUAAAACAGCAGUAACUCUAAAGAAGAGCUGGUUUGGACUAUGGCAACUUGUUCAGCCCAUGGAAAACAGAUGGAAAAUGAUGAUGAUGAUGAUUCACAUGUACUCACAUGCAUGCACACACACACACACACGCACACAGAGGUUUGAAUGUAAAGAUGGGAGGAAGAAUAUUCAAUAUCUUCAGUAGAAUUUAUUAAUUUGUUUGAAGCUGAUGAUAGAUUUGCUGUUACUCAGAAUUUCUCACUACACACAAUUCCUUAAAGAAUUCCUUAAAGAAGGGAAAGAAGUGUUUCUUGCAUAAAACCAGAAACCAAUACAAGUGUAUUUAAACUCGCCUGUAGAAAAUCUAUAGAAAAUAUUUAUUAUUAAAUAUAAGGAUUACCAUUUUAUGAAAAAUCUCGAGUAUAAAGGGUCUACUAUGAUUGAAUAUACUUGAAUUUAUUUACACUCAUCAGUUGAUGCUGACAAUUUUUAUCUUUAAUUAUUUUGAAGUUUUUAAAUUCUAAAAAUAUUUAAAAUGAUACCUAUAUCUCUUAAGCAAAAUUAUUGAAGUGUCAGUCAAAAUACCUGGUAAAUUUUAGUUAUGGCCUUUUAUGAUAAAAACACCCAUGCCAAUGUUGCGUAGAAACACCCAGUACACUUUAUGAAGUGGCUGGCAUUAAGAAAGGCAUUCCAGCCAUAGAAACCAUGCCAAAAUAGACAUGGAGCCCGGUAAGUUCUUCGGUUGAGCAGCUCCUGUGAAACUGUCCAACCCAUGCCAGCACAUGAUGUUGAUGAUGAUGAUGAUGAUGAUGAUGAUGAUGACGAUGAUGACGAUGAUGACGACGAUGAUGAUGAUGAUGAUGAUGAUGAUCAUCAUCAUCAUCAUCAUCAUCAUCGUCAUCAUCAUGAACACUAGAGGUUAUGUUGGAAGAAGGGGAUGAUCAAUGAACAACAUCUAGACAGAGCUAAUAGCAAGAAAUAGCAGCCAAAUUUCCCACAUUUUUCAAAUUUCCCUAAAAAAACAUGUAAAUAAAUAUAGUACUACAUAUUCCUCCAGAGACAUGAGAGAUCACAGCUGAAAUGCUUUGAUCACAGAUCAGCUUGAUCAGUGUUCACCUCAGGCUAAAUAAUAACACCUAGAAAAUUGUUACAUUCAAGGAACGACAAUAAGUACAUUGUUUAUUUUUGUGAAGUAGUUAUAAUAGGAUAUGUAAGCAUAGAUAAACUGAUUGACCACUCAGUGGCAGCUUACUCUCGGGUAAGCAUUCAGACAAGGUGUCGAGGUUCAAGAUAAUCCCUUCUUUCUAUGUCACCAAUAUUAAAGAUCCUGAAAAAAGGGCAAGGUCACCGACCUUUCUCCUCUGACUAAUCCAUAAAGAAAUUUAAAAAAUAAAAGACACACAAAACAAUAGGAAUAUUGUUCACUAAAAACAAGUGCCACAUGGAAUUUUAUUACCGUUCCAACACUUCCUCCACUCUACUCUCAUAUUCAACAUUACUUUUGAAAUAAAAUUGACUUUUUUGGUUUU